ACGGGCCGGCAGACGGUCGCGUCGUCCUCCUCGGAGGGCGCCGAGGAACGUCCGGGCUCCACAGAGCAGGGCGGUGGGUAACACCCACCCGGGGUGACCCGCGAGAAAGUGCAACAGAGAGCAGACCGCCACGGUCGCGCCGCCUUCGGGCGGAGCGGACGGGGUAAGGGUGAAACGGUGGUGUAAGAGACCACCAGGGGCCCGAGUGAUCGGGCUCGCUGGGUAAACCUCGCCCGGAGCAAGGUCAGACAGACACCGAUUGAAGCUGCUCGCCGAGGUGUCGGGUAGACCGCUGGAGGGCUGCGGCAACGCAUCCCCGAGAAAGAUGGCCGUCACGGACUCGUCCGUACAGAACCCGGCGUAUCGCCGGCCCGUUCCU
RNAcentral lists this RNase P RNA (379 nucleotides) under Schumannella soli. RNAcentral's name for it is "Schumannella sp. 10F1D-1 RNase P RNA component class A". It matches the Rfam family "Bacterial RNase P class A". Rfam says of the family: Ribonuclease P (RNase P) is a ubiquitous endoribonuclease, found in archaea, bacteria and eukarya as well as chloroplasts and mitochondria. Its best characterised activity is the generation of mature 5'-ends of tRNAs by cleaving the 5'-leader elements of precursor-tRNAs. Lineage: Bacteria; Bacillati; Actinomycetota; Actinomycetes; Micrococcales; Microbacteriaceae. The record is from RNAcentral.